GACGAACGCUGGCGGCGUGCUUAACACGUGCAAGUCGAACGGAAAGGCCCUGCUUUUGUGGGGUGCUCGAGUGGCGAACGGGUGAGUAACACGUGAGUAACCUGCCCUUGACUUUGGGAUAACUUCAGGAAACUGGGGCUAAUACCGGAUAGGAGCUCCUGCUGCAUGGUGGGGGUUGGAAAGUUUCGGCGGUUGGGGAUGGACUCGCGGCUUAUCAGCUUGUUGGUGGGGUAGUGGCUUACCAAGGCUUUGACGGGUAGCCGGCCUGAGAGGGUGACCGGCCACAUUGGGACUGGGAUACGGCCCAGACUCCUACGGGAGGCAGCAGUGGGGAAUAUUGCACAAUGGGCGGAAGCCUGAUGCAGCAACGCCGCGUGCGGGAUGACGGCCUUCGGGUUGUAAACCGCUUUCGCCUGUGACGAAGCGUGAGUGACGGUAAUGGGUAAAGAAGCACCGGCUAACUACGUG
Molecule: ribosomal RNA, 468 nt
Filed under: uncultured bacterium
Lineage: Bacteria
Description: partial 16S ribosomal RNA
Rfam family: Bacterial small subunit ribosomal RNA
Source: RNAcentral